Molecule: ribosomal RNA, 440 nt
Filed under: uncultured bacterium
Lineage: Bacteria
Description: bacterial SSU rRNA
Rfam family: Bacterial small subunit ribosomal RNA
Source: RNAcentral
CUACGGGAGGCAGCAGUUGGGAAUUUUGCACAAUGGGCGAAAGCCUGAUGCAGCAACACUGCGUGAAGGAUGAAGGUUUUCGGAUCGUAAACUUCUUUUAUCUGGGAAUAAUCUUGAAGGUACCAGAUGAAUAAGCACCGGCUAACUACGUGCCAGCAGCCGCGGUAAUACGUAGGGUGCAAACGUUAUCCGGAUUUAUUGGGCGUAAAGAGCUCGUAGGUGGUUUUGUAAGUCUGAUAUUAAAGACCCAGGCUCAACCUGGGGAAAGUAUUGGAAACUGCAAAACUUGAGGUAUGCAGGGGCAGAUGGAACACAAGGUGUAGCAGUGAAAUGCGUAGAUAUCUUGUGGAACGCCAAUGGUGAAGACAGUCUGCUGGGCAUUCACCUGACACUGAGGAGCGAAAGCGUGGGGAGCGAACGGGAUUAGAUACCCCGGUAGG